Molecule: long non-coding RNA, 5877 nt
Organism: Cyprinus carpio carpio
Lineage: Eukaryota; Metazoa; Chordata; Actinopteri; Cypriniformes; Cyprinidae
Source: Ensembl
AAUUUAGUAAAUUUGGUAAAGGGCUUAAAUAUAAUGAUGUACUUCACCCAUCCCUCUCCAUAAAGAACACAAGUCAUAAAAACAACUAAGUAUGUUUAGUGCAUGCAGUGAGAAACAUACUGUGAAAUGGAAACUAAGAGUAGAACAGAAGUUAUUUGUCACCAUUCACACAACCACAGCUGUAAACAUCACUGAUACCACAGGAGCUACCUGGUUGUGUGUGUUUCUCUUAUCAAUCAUGGCAAGAUUUGGGUGUGGAGAUCAUUUCAGGACUUUCCAGGGCAAGAUCUGCCCACAUCACAGAGAGGAGAUGGAGUUGAGAAGAUCCUGCUUCCAAGGGCAAAACAUAGCAGGUUUUGUUCUACUUUGUGACUUUAAAGGCACAUGCUAUGUAAGAUGCACACAAACAUGGACAUGAUUAAAAAAAAAAAAAAAAGAUUACUUGUACUAUUUGCAGUCAAAAUUUAAUGGGAAGUACGAAAAAAUAUACAUAAGAAAGAUUCAUAGAAAGAAAAAGCAUGGAUUAUUUACUAAGCUGCCACUAGAUGACUGCACAUGAGCUGAGAAAUCACGCUGCCUAAGGAUGUCUUUGGCAUUGUGCUGAUGCUUGCAUUUAUUCAUCUUUCACAUUAAACUAUUAUUAUUAUUAUUAUUAUUAGAUCAGUCCUGUAUCUUUGAACUUUAGAUAUAUUAAUAAUAAUAAUGGGAUCAUUUCGUGUUUAGAUUUUAAGGAGGAGAGGAGGAGAACCCAACUGCCAAGGGAUUCGGGCACUCGGGUCCACUGCCCUGUUCUAGUGCAUUCUCUGGCAACACUGGAUCUCUGGCCGGGGUCCAGUGGACCUGCAGUGAACAGCGCCAGGUCUAUGACCCGCUGACAAAGCACCAGAAAACUAGAAGCAACCAAACAAACCACACAAACAAGAAAACUGAAGCCGAAGGCUGAAGGCUUCUGGUUGUCUGUUGCUUGGUUGGCAGGUGAUGGGGAUGGCCUGCUGUAAAACCAACCUGUGUUUUAUUUAUUUUUUAAAUUUUUUUAAUGAAGGCUGUGCGCAACUCUUUCCAGAAAAAAAAGAAACUGAACCUGAAACCUGAAACUGAAAUUGAUGUCUGUGUUUUAUUUUAUUCAAGUUAUGAAACUCUUUUUAAAGAAUAACAAGUUAAAGGAGAUUUGCAUCAUUUUCUCAGACACAUGUCGUUCCAAGCCUGUAUGACUUUCUUUUAUGGAACAUAAAAGAAUAUAUUCUGAAAGUCAGUGGGAUCUAACCACAUUUGGUCCCCAUUGAUCUUCCACCUUCCCAAACAUUUUCCAAAAUCCUAUUUUGUGUUUCAUGAACUGAUGGAUGAACUGUUUCUUUAAAAAUAAUUGAUCUAAUCUGAGUUUUUAAACUUUUAAAGUUGAUGACGUGUUAUCAUUCAUAUUCAUGAACAUCAUCCGUCUAACCUUGCCCAUAAUUCAGCAUAAUGAGGUUUGAGAAACAGAAACCAAGAGCAGAAUCGAAAGUUAACAACCUGAUACAACAGAAAUCCUGCUGAUCUCAACUUAAAUAGUGUAGAAGUUGUCUUAAUUGUUAAUUCAAGCUAAUUAAUGUUAACAAAUAUGGUAGUGUUACUGAAGGUAAAAGUGAUUUUUCAGUCUUCUGUGUUGUAAUUUUUUGGGUAUGGUGUUAAAAAAAGCAUGUGUUCUGAACCUAUAAAUGUAUGCAAAGCAACUGGUAAGAAACAUAUGUGUUGUCUCAAUAAAGUUAAGAGUGUCUAAGAUUAAUUUUAGUGGACGUUUAAAAAGCGCAAUCAAAAAUGCUGUCAUUCACUUUGGAACAACAGCAAAGCCUUCCUGUAGUGGGACGGGCCGACAGAAGAUCAGAAACUUACUGAGAAAACGAAACACAUGAAAACAAGGCCAACCGCUGUUCCCAGAUCAGUUGAGGGCGGUAACCUAGUAUAAAUUACAGAGAGACACACUGAUCUGUCCUUUCCGUGACCAGAUCCUUCUGCUGCCAGAUCAACAAGGUCUACGGUGUUUCCUCUGUGGGAGAUGCUGUGGAAACCUGACUGGUCUUGGAGCACUAAUGUCAUCAUGAAGGAGGCGGAGGUCAUGUAAAUCCUUGCUGCCAGGGGCGGGGUCAUCUGGCACAGCGUCAUUCAGAGGGGAAACUCAUUUGCAUGAGUCUCUAUCUUUGUUUUGUGCUGGUGCCCAGAUGUGCAGAGGCCUGCGCAGUCUGCGAAGCCUAACACCGCUGUGACGCCUGACGAUCCGCGCAUGAAGCCUCAAAUUUCCGACAAAUGCUACAAAGCCAAGAACCGACCAGAAAAAAACCAAUGAAUGUAAUGCCAAAACUGAACCAAGAAAUCUCUUUAACACGUUGCUGACCAAUGAAUACUGCUACAAAUGUAAAGUAAAGUGAAGAAGCGAAUUUUUGGUGAAACCUUUGGUUUCUGCAUUGCUUGGUUCGGUUGGUCCGGGGCCCAGCUGAUAAAACAAAAAGCCCCGGAAAAAAUGUUUAAAAAAAUCUAAAUAAAAAUAGUAAAAUCUGCAACAAAAAUUCUUAUUGUACUGUGUUUAUUUUUGUUUAUCUUCCAGUGUUUGAUGAUGAAUUUAUUAACUAUAUCACUUCUUACACUAGGCCACUACAAGACUGUUUAGACACUGUAGGAAAAAAAAAAUAGAAAAAGAAAAUCAGUGGAGAAACAAAGUAUAUAUAAGAAAGUAUGUUUACACUUUACAACAAGGUCCCAUUAAUUAACAAUGAGAAAUACAUUUGUUACAGUAUUUAUUAAUAUUUGUUAACAAACAACUAUACAACUCAAAGUACAACUCUUUAUUUUAAUAUUGUAGUAAAUUUUGGACUAGGAUUAAUGUUAAUUUAUGUAGUUUAUGAAUGUGAACAAAUGGAAUUUUGUACAAAACAAUCAAAAGCAUUGCAUAGAUUUAACAUAAGUAUAACCAAGAGGCCAAACAUGAUCUUUUGUAUUUAAAAUGUUACAUAAUAAAUUAUAUAACUGAGAACAUCUGAGAUCCCACCCAAGCAAAGUUUCCCUUUCACUUUCGUUUCUGUGAAACGCUCUCAUCUAAUGUGUCUGCACCAGACUGGCUGCUGCAUAGUUGUGUUCUUUGAGGAGGUGUGAACAGUUUCUGUAGGAAGAGUAUAAGUAACAGAUGAAGGUCCAGUUCAGAUGAACUGCACUACGCUGCUCUGAACCCUAAACAAAUCAUCAGCAUGGUAAGUUUUUUUAAAUAAUUCCCUUCAAGUAAAAUAUAGCUAUAAGGUAAAAUGUUAUUAUUAUUAUUAUUAUUAUUAUUAUUAUUAUUGCAAACUAGCAAGAAUGCAAAUUUUUAAUAUGUGUGAGUCCAGCAACUAUUUCGAAACACACAUUUAAGUAUGAUUUUAGGUUUGACAUUAAGUUGCAGUAUCGCUUAAUCUAAAUCAUUCAUGUAUGCAUGAACUCAGCUUUAGAUAGAUUUAUAGAUUGAGGAAAUAGACAGAUAAUGUUAUUGCAAGCAUCACUGCAGAUAAAAUAUGGACAAAUAUACUAAUGUGCCAUGUAUUGACACAAGGGCAUCUGCUAUCAUAUUAUACUCAGACAUUUGAACUGUACUGUGUUUUAAGUCAAACAUUAACUCUUAGUUUGUGCAUGGCAUCUUAAGUUCAGGCUAUUGUUUUAUAAUCACCCCACCUCUGUAGAGAAUGUGUUAGGGUGUGCCAGUUUCUUCAGGGUAAAGGAUGGGUGGGAAACUUAAACAAACAUGCUAUAUAUAAAUUCAUAAUCUGCAAGUAAGAUAAUAAAAUAAUAUCUGAAAUCAAUAACACCAUUUAUUUAUUUAUUAAUCAAGUAGCUAUGUAUUAUAUGAGAAAAUGCACCCCAAAACUAUGACAGCAUAACUAAAAAUAAGACAUUUAAGGUUCAUGAAUAAAUAUAGCAUUUUUUUCUUCAAUGCACGGUCCUAAAUGAAAUAAAAUAAAGUGUGUUAUAUGGAAGGUGUUUUCAUAAAUUUCAUAUUUACUAUUUUAUGUUUUAGACUUUGGCGUUUUGAUAUGGUUGCAAUGAACAACUGAAAUAAAUGAAUUAUUAUAUUUGGUUGAUCUAAAAAAAUAAGCCAAAUUAGGUUAAAUGAACAUUAACUUUGGUACUGAGUCUGACCUUAAUUUUAUAAAGAUAUUCCAACUAAACUUGAUAAACUCUCAUAACUUUAAAAAAAAAAGUGGCUGGGUCAAUAAAAUGUAAUUGUGCCAACAAAAAGUAAUUUCAAAGUAAAUUCAACAUAACUGAGUCAAAGCAAAAAAGAACCUAAUCUAACUCAAUAUGUUAAAAUAUAAAGUCAACAUUUUAUUAGUCUAUCUAUUUGAGCAACAACAUUUUUCUCCAUCAACAGAUCUUAUCCGAGGGGAGUGAUGAAGGGGAUGAUGACGAUGAUGAAGAAGAUGAUGGAGGUGCUGGAGUAAGUGUCUGCUGCCAAGGGUAGACAACUGCUCCAGACCUUGAUGCAGCCAGUGCUGAGAAAGACCCAAUAGCACGCUGGAUCAAACAAACUGUGUGCAAUUGCUGAUACAAGCCAGCAGCAGCCAAAGCAAUCACACAGCUUCAGUUGUGACAAAUGUCGCAACCCAAGUACCUCCCACGCCAUGUGUGUCCAUGGCAAACUUGACACGUAGACUAUGUUUCCUCCAUGGGAAUGAUGGAACUCGCAACUUUCCCGCUGUGCAGUGGCAGCACCAUCACUUUUUUUCAGAACGGCUCUGCUUUCAUGUCUGUUUGUGCAACCCUGAAGAAACCAUGGAGAGAAGAACGAAACGUUCAUGGAGAGGUGAUCCCUGAUGAUUACAGAGCUGCUGGUCCAGAGGUUGGAAGAUGUGAGACAGUUUUUUCUGAGCUCACAAUCGUCCUCAUUCACCAUUGUGCCACCGAGCAACGCACAUGACUCCAACGCAGGACUGACUGUUUCUGCAAAAUGUCUACAGUAGUCAACAAUCCAUUAAGAUACAAACAGAGAAUGGGCUGGAUGGGCAUUUUGAAGAUGUUCUAAUGGAUGCAUGUUGCUCACUUAUUUACUGGGAGGUCAUGCCCCUUUGAAGCCCAAGUGUAUUUGUUGUAAAGAUAUAUUCAGACUAUGGCUGCUUGGUCCAAAUUGCUCUCCAGUAAAACUAGCAGAAGGUUUCUGAAGCAGUGGACCAAGGUCAGAGAUAAAAGCCCACUGUUUUUUUUUUUUUUUUUUUUUUUUUUUUUUUAUGUUCUUUUACCUCUUUGUCAAUGCCACUCAGCCAUAGAGAGCGUGAUCAGAGCGAGAUGACAUGUUCACCAGAAUAAGGUUCACAGGCACACUGGUUCUGCAGGUUGUGCUGACUGGGUUGAAUCCACUGGUUCAGAUAUCUUACUAACACUACACAAUAUGACACACUGUUAAAUUUCACGCACAAGUGUUAUCGCAGUGCUGUUGAAAAAAGUUACACAACAUAGGUAACGUACCUGUAAUGAGACAUGAUCUCAUACAGAACAAGGUCCUAAUCAAAGGACCUAUAAAGGUCUAGCCAAAAAUGAAGCCCAAUAGAUGCGACACAACAUCAAAGGCCCUCAUAUCCUAUUGAGCACUCGUCUUGGUUGUGUGGCAAGGGGGUCCUUAGCAAGUGGUCUGUUUAGUUUUACAAUGGUGUUCUUAGAAAUGUCAUGAAUGUAGAUGAUUUCUGUGCAUUCGUCUGCCUAAAUGUAUCGCUUUCUAAUGAGCUACACGAUAAAACCCCCCUAAAUAAAGUACUACAUGUUGUGAAAAAAUAUUUUGUGUGAGUUUUUCUGAUGGAGCCAAUCUCUAGAUUAAUAUUUCGCAUGGUAUGUGUCAUGUGUUUUGGCCACAUUUUUAAGACUUUGGGGUAAAUUAGCGCAAUUAUG